Molecule: ribosomal RNA, 374 nt
Filed under: uncultured bacterium
Lineage: Bacteria
Description: bacterial SSU rRNA
Rfam family: Bacterial small subunit ribosomal RNA
Source: RNAcentral
ACACUUUCAGUAGGGAGGAAGGUAGUGUAGUUAACUACCUGCAUUAUUUGACGUUACCUACAGAAAGAAGCACCGGCUAACUCCGUGCCAGCAGCCGCGGUAAUACGGAGGGUGCGAGCGUUAAUCGGAAUUACUGGGCGUAAAGCGCAUGCAGGCGGCCUGUUAAGUCAGAUGUGAAAGCCCGGGGCUUAACCUCGGAAUUGCAUUUGAAACUGGCAGGCUAGAGUCUUGUAGAGGGGGGUAGGAAUUUCAGGUGUAGCGGUGAAAUGCGUAGAGAUCUGAAGGAAUACCAGUGGCGAAGGCGGCCCCCUGGACAAAGACUGACGCUCAGAUGCGAAAGCGUGGGGAGCAAACAGGAUUAGAUACCCUGGUAG